Topomyia yanbarensis is the source of this 878-nucleotide long non-coding RNA. RefSeq lists it as uncharacterized. The record is from RefSeq and is a predicted model, not a curated record. The transcript is spliced from 2 exons. NCBI's taxonomy places the organism in Eukaryota, Metazoa, Arthropoda, Insecta, Diptera, Culicidae.
UCUAAAAACUGACCAUGAGAUAGUUAGAAGUACUAUUAAAAUUAAAGUAAAAAUGAAAAUAUGAGCAUGGUAAACAUCUUGAAAAUAACCAAUGCCAUUGUUAUAACUACUUUUCUUAUGAUUGUUCUCUGCACAAUAUAGUAAUACGUUGUAAACACUGAAUAUAUAGUUAUUACAUGAAUGUGAAGGUUGAAAGAACCAUAUAUACCGUUUACGGGGACAUGAGCCUGGUUGUAAGCACCUUUUGCGUAUAGUGAAUUUCAACUGACAAUGCUUUGUAUUACUAACAACCAUAAAACUUGUCAAUGUUUACGUUCCCAUAAUAUAUUCCUACAUUAUGCAGCCAGUACAGUGAAAAAUUGUGAACUUAGCAUACGAGCGUGUUUUUCGACGCACUUUUUAAUUUUAAUUUUUCAACUAUGGCAGUACUAUUAUUUCUGUGAUAUAACUGGGAUGUGAUAUAACUGAUAUAGUGAAAAGCCGUUGUAUGAUCGAACCCCAGCCAGAAAAAUAAUUACUGGGUAAAAAUGAGCGUAACACUAGCCUUACAAAUGGUCUGUUCCAAGGUGUGACACUGAGAAUCGAUUUCUAAGUCUUACGAAACAGAAGGUUAUGUUCCGCUACGGAAUUGAAUACUAAGUGUUUACUAAAUGCAUUAACCGUAAAGACAGGAAAUACAAGGAGGAUUUGGUUGCCGAAACGAUUAUUUUUAAUAAAAAAUGUAUGUAUGUCAUUAAGAAACUAAGAGACGCUUUCCAAAUGCUACAUUGGCUGAAACUUUCUUAAAUCUUUAUCAUCCAUCUAAUUAUAUUGGACCAUGUUAGUUUCAAAACAACAACGAUAUCUGUUUUUGAAAUAAAUAGGCGAAAAUGUCAAAA